This 222-nucleotide ribosomal RNA is filed under the name Triticum aestivum (bread wheat). Its description in RNAcentral is "partial small subunit ribosomal RNA". Lineage: Eukaryota; Viridiplantae; Streptophyta; Magnoliopsida; Poales; Poaceae. The record is from RNAcentral.
AUGACGGUGCUAGCUUGGAACUGUCGGGGCCUCGGGCAACCUCGAACAAUUCAAGAAUUAGUGUGCCUCGUGCACACGUAUAAGCCCAAGCUCGUCUUCCUCUCGAAACGCCAGAAUAACAAGUACGUGAAGAACCUCAAGUGGAGGCUCGGUCUCCGUCACUGUGUCAUGCAACCCGGCCUAGGAAAAGGUGUCGGCAUUGCCCUCUAUUAUGAUGAAAGU